CCUAGCCUAUGGACGGGAAUAACCUCGGGAAACUGAGAAUAAUGCCCGAUAGAACAUUAUGCCUGGAAUGGUUUAUGUUCCAAAUGAUUUAUCGCCGUAGGAUGGGACUGCGGCCUAUCAGUUUGUUGGUGAGGUAAUGGCCCACCAAGACUAUUACAGGUACGGGCUCUGAGAGGAGUAGCCCGGAGAUGGGUACUGAGACACGGACCCAGGCCCUAUGGGGCGCAGCAGGCGAGAAAACUUUGCAAUGUGCGAAAGCACGACAAGGUUAAUCCGAGUGGUUUCUGCUAAAGAAACCUUUUGUCAGUCCUAGAAACACUGAUGAAUAAGGGGUGGGCAAGUUCUGGUGU
This 350-nucleotide ribosomal RNA is filed under the name uncultured archaeon. Its description in RNAcentral is "bacterial SSU rRNA". It matches the Rfam family "Archaeal small subunit ribosomal RNA", at positions 108 to 458 of the family's 1478-position model. The record is from RNAcentral.